UGAGGAAUAUUGGUCAAUGGGCGGGAGCCUGAACCAGCCAAGCCGCGUGAGGGAAGAAGGCGCUCAGCGUCGUAAACCUCUUAGCCGGGGAACAAAGAGCUGCUCGGGAAGCAGCGUUGAACGUACCCGGAGAAUAAGCAUCGGCUAACUCCGUGCCAGCAGCCGCGGUAAUACGGAGGAUGCGAGCGUUAUCCGGAUUUAUUGGGUUUAAAGGGUGCGCAGGCGGACGCGCAAGUCUGCGGUCAAAUUCCGGGGCUCAACCCCGGACCGCCGUGGAAACUGUGCGACUGGAGUGGGCGAGAGGCAUGCGGAAUGCGCGGGGAUAGCGGUGAAAUGCUUAGAGAUCGCGCAGAACUCCGAUUGCGAAGGCAGCAUGCCGGCGCCUUACUGACGCUCAUGCACGAAAGCGUGGGGAUCGAACAGGAUUAGAUACC
Molecule: ribosomal RNA, 434 nt
Filed under: uncultured bacterium
Lineage: Bacteria
Description: bacterial SSU rRNA
Rfam family: Bacterial small subunit ribosomal RNA
Source: RNAcentral